Molecule: long non-coding RNA, 388 nt
Organism: Gossypium raimondii (Peruvian cotton)
Lineage: Eukaryota; Viridiplantae; Streptophyta; Magnoliopsida; Malvales; Malvaceae
Exons: 2
Source: RefSeq, a predicted model, not a curated record
UAAAAUAAAAAGUUUUGCAAUAUUUUUGGAGGAAAGAAAAAUGAAGCCAUCAACCACAACCAUGGUUUUGUUGCUUGUGCUAUUCCUUUCUACUUUUGAUAGUUUAAAUAAUGUGAAUGCUAGGUCUUUGACUUGCAAGAGUAGCAAAGAUUGCAUAAAUCAGUGCGGUUCUCCUGGUUGUCCACCUCCUGCUUCAUGCGUUUGUGUCUCCGGAAAGUGUGAUUGCGCCAAUGUAGAAACUACCGUAGAAUCCGUGUUUGGACCAUUAAAUGGUCAUGUUUAAAGAACAUAUUGAAUUUAGUAUAAGUUGUAAUUGAAUUUUUUGCUAUAAUAUCACAAUAAGAAUAAAUUAUUAUAAUAAACAAUAUAAUAUAUAUUCUCUUUUGAA